Molecule: long non-coding RNA, 930 nt
Organism: Labrus mixtus (cuckoo wrasse)
Lineage: Eukaryota; Metazoa; Chordata; Actinopteri; Labriformes; Labridae
Exons: 3
Source: RefSeq, a predicted model, not a curated record
AUUGAAACAGUGACUGUAAAUUUAAAAAUAAUGUGUGACAAAAGAGACAAGAGGAAAAAGUCUCCUGAACUAAGUCUCGGUCUCUCCAUGAAGGCAGCACCAUCCUCUCACAUUCCUGCGCGACGCUUAAAAAAGGGGAUUUAGAGCGACUUAUUUUCUUAAAACUGUCCUCCCGUCCGCAGAGCCAGUCAUUCUGCUCCCCCAUCAUGCAGCCUCACAUGGGCCUGAACUGAAUAAAACCCCCACAAUAUUUUAAAGGAAAAUUCCCAACGACAGACACCGAGGAUAUGGAGGCACCCAGAGCUGCAGUUUGCUCUCAGAGAAGAGGAAAGAUGACAGGAGAAAGGCACAACAUAGGCCGGAUGUAGCUAGCCUUUCAAUUCUUUUACAAGAAGGAUUUUCUGCAAGAGGAAGAAGAUAAAAGCCAAAUAUAAUGGUGUCGAUCACAUGAAGCGGAUGAAUAGAUCAUAACUCUGGAUUUCUUUUAACAAACAAACAUGAGAUCUGAUCAAAGCAGAGGAAAACUUUUGCUGUGGAUCCUCCUGUUUGGUGGAGAUGGACUGCAACACAUCCAGGAGUUCGCCUAACAAAUAAACGGAUGCAAUUAAACACACACACACGCCUUCAGAUCAUCAAUGAGGAGGCAAAGUCAAGAUUGCUGGAAAAACAUACAAGGACAAAUAAAAGACAUGAGGAGACUGUGCCGCCUCAAGGUUACACUUGAACUGUGUGAAGAGCUGGCUUUCUUUUCCAAUCUGGACUGUCCUACAAACACUCAACACUAGCUGGGCUUCAUAUUAAUUAUUCUUUUAUUUAUUUAUCUUUACAACUUUUUGUAACUCUUUUUAAAUCAAGUUUUUCCUUCUCUGUCAGCCAAACUGUCUUGAAAGUAAUAAAGAAUAUAUUUUCAAAUAAAGACUCAUUUUCAAA